AUUAUUAGCUAUUAUUAUCAAUAAAAACUUCAAAAAUGAAAUUUUUUUCUUGUCUUUUUUCCUGAUUUUAUAAAUUUUUCUAAUGAUAGUUCCUUUUCCACUAUUGCAUUGACAGAUAAAUCGAGUAAACGGUUUUCUGAUGAUGCCCGACGAAGUAAGAUUGACCUCGAUGCCUCCCAAAUUACAGAUGUACAAAACUAUAAGUGUGUUCUUCUAGCCUCUUGCUAUUUCAUUAAUUCCUUUUUCACAAUGUAAGAGCGGGUUUUUACCACUUUUUCAUAAUUCUUAUUGGAAUAGGAUCUUUGUGGCAACUUGGAACGUUGCUGGAAAAUCUCCACCCAGCAAUUUGAAUCUUGAAGAGUGGCUACAUAAUUCACCUGCAGCUGAUAUUUAUGUUCUUGGGUUUGUAAAUUUUUCAUUAGUUACAAAAUUUAGCCUUUUUAUUGAUUGUAGAGUAAAGGGAUGAUUAAUGGAAGUCUCUUUAUAUUAUCACUUCUAGGUUUCAAGAAAUUGUUCCUUUAAAUGCCGGUAAUGUUCUGGGAGCAGAAGACAAUGGUCCGGCUAGAAAAUGGUUAGCACUUAUUAGGAAAACUUUGAACAGUGUUCCAGGCAACAAUGGUGGCUAUCAUAUGCCUUCACCAGUUCCUGAUCCAAUAGUUGAAAUAGACGCCGACUUUGAAGGAACAAAUAGAGAAAAAGCUUCCUCUUUCUUCGAAUGUCGUUCAUUUCAGUCAUUGAGCCGUAGUAUGAGAAUGAUGGAUAGUGACAUGUCAAUUACACAGCCUAGUCUAGACCGUCGAUUUAGUGUUUGUGAUAGGGUUAUCCUUGGAGAUAGACGGACUGACUAUGAUCCCAAUGUCAGAUGGGAUGGUUCAUCUGAUGAUGAAAAUGGCCUGUUCGAUUCACCUUAUAUCAUGCAGUACUCUCCAAUUUCCUAUGAUGUUUCUGGCCUGAUGGAGGAAAGGGACAGACAAUCCGGGCAGUCUAGGUAUUGUUUGAUUGCAAGCAAGCAGAUGGUUGGGAUUUUUCUCACAGUAUGGAUAAAGAGUGAUAUGAGAGAUUCUGUUCAAAAUCUAAAGGUUUCUUGUGUUGGCAGAGGAUUGAUGGGUUAUCUCGGAAAUAAGGUAUUCUUUCAACUUAUUUGGAAACUGUGUAAAUUGAAUCCCUCCAUAGCUAAGCCAAUGAAAUCUCUUUUUAAUAACUUUUCCAGGGUUCAAUUUCAAUUAGCAUGUCUUUGCACCAAACGAGCUUCUGCUUCAUCUGUAGUCAUCUAACCUCUGGAGAGAAGGAUGGUGAUGAGUUGAGGAGGAAUUCCGAUGUCAUGGAAAUUUUGAGGAAAACAAGAUUUCCACAAGUUCAUGGAAUAGGGGAUGAGACCUCCCCCCAAACAAUCCUUGAGCAUGAGUAAGUUCCUCAUCCUUAACUCAUCAUGCCCAUUCAAUAUUUUCUUUGGCUUUCGUUUGUGCUAUGCCAGUGUGUUUCACAUUUUUGCAAUAUGAGGAAGUGCCGUUUCUAUAGAAACAUUAAUUUAUAUGGUGAACUCUAGAAUAAUGAGGUUCAAAGUCUAAAUCAUCUUUGUGUUUUCUAGUCGAAUUAUAUGGCUUGGGGAUUUGAAUUAUCGAAUAGCCCUCUCAUAUCGAUGUGCAAAAGCUCUCGUCGAGAUGCAUAACUGGAGAGCUUUGUUAGAAAAUGACCAGGCAAGUAAAUGGAAUUCCCUUAAAAGAGCUUCAAUUUUAUUGUCAUAUUAUGUGGACUUUGACAAGUAUAUGGAUUGCUCUAUUUACACCAUUGGUCAUUUUAUCAACAGCUUCGGAUAGAGCAAAGAGAGCGGCGUGUUUUUGCUGGAUGGAAUGAAGGAAGAAUAUACUUCCCACCGACUUACAAGUAUUCAAAUAAUUCCAACAGAUAUGCUGGGGAGAAUAUGCACCCCAAAGAGAAACGUAGAACACCUGCAUGGUAAUACUUCUUUUUAGAAGAAAUAUAGGCAAGCAAAUAUGUCUACAUAUGGUGAAUUCUAUAGAUAAAUAAAGGAAUUUAGGCCAGACUACCUAUAUUACAUGUAUCUACAAACAGACUUCGAGCAAAUAAUUCCAACAGAUAUGCUGGGGAGAAUAUGCACCCCAAAGAGAAACGUAGAACACCUGCAUGGUAAUACUUCUUUUUAGAAGAAAUGCUAGCAAGCAUAAUAUGUCUACAUAUGGUGACUUCUAUAGAUAAAUAAAGGAAUUUAGGCCAGGCUGGCUAUAUUACAUGUAUCUACAAACAGCCUUCGAGACAGCAAUUAUGAACAUGCACUUAUUAGCUUAAGUGGAUCUUUUGGAUACACUACUAAUACUGUGUUUUCAUGGAUAAAGGUGUGAUAGAAUAUUAUGGCAUGGUCAAGGCCUCCGUCAACUAUCGUACGUCAGAGGAGAGUCUAGAUUCUCAGAUCAUAGACCAGUUUAUGCUAUAUUUUCGGCAGAAGUCGAGUCUAUUAAUCGUAGCCGAUUCAAGAGAAGUACGAGUUAUUCAAGCUCUAGGAUUGAGGUUGAAGAGAUACUGCCUUGCUCCCAUGGAUAUGGUGAACUAAAUUUCUACUGAAGAAUGUUUCCAAAUUUAAGUACUUGAAAGUCAGACAUUAUCAACAAAUAUUAGAAAAGAGACUGCUAAGCAAGUAAGUUUUCUUAAACGAAUGCACAACUCAACUUGCAUAUGUUUCUUGAACUUUCUUUAUCUCUACACACACACACACACACACACACACACAAACUAGAUGUUGUAAGUUUUUACUUACUGAUUGAUGCAUGUUUUAUACAGAUAGGACAUCGCGUAAUCAUCGCCGUUAACAUCUUUGUCUUUGGUUCGAUCAGAAUUAUCCUUCAACAAUUCAGGUGAUUUACAAUUUCUAUUUGUCUCAAAAUUUCUCCAUUUUUUCUCCCUAGAGUUCCAAAGUGAUUGAUAUCUUUGUCAUUUGCAAUGUUUUCUGCAUUUUGCUGUCAACCUGAGAAUUUGAUGCCUACUGAAUACAUUCAACAAUUAACUUUUGCAAUUUAUUCUCUUCUCUUAACAAAAAUCUCGGUGAAAAUCUUUACUCAUCAUAUCUUGUUUAAUAAUGGUUCUAUAUUUCCAGACGAGCCACGAACACGAUGCCUUAUCUGUGACAAAGAUGUUAAUUUUUUUAUUUGAUGGAAGGUAAGUAUUGGCAUCAUCAUUUCUCCCGUUUCCUGACAAUCCUCCAUUUUCUAAUUCUUCUGUGCUUUUCCUUGUCUUGUCAGGUAAGAAACUUCACAAAUAGUUGCUAAAAGCACUGCCCUUCCACUCAGUUCUUUCGUCAGCAACUUUUCACCAUGUACAUUGUAAAUUUGGCAUCAAGAACAAGAGUUUUAAGAUCAAACUGAAUAAUUAGGUAAUAAAUGAUAUUUCUCCUUUUUCUAUCACACCCAUUUUAACUACCGAAACACGAAUAAAAAUAAUUCCCUUCAUGUUUUUUCAGGAUGCUUCUGUAGUGAUAGAAAACAAAUGACUUGGUCGAAUAUACUCGAGGAUUUCAGAGGACCCUGUAAAAAGUCGAAAAAUACUUUUUACUAAUUACGAUAUUCUGUCAUGUUCCCAUUACGACAGGGAAGAGCAGGGACAUGGGCGGAUAGGCGUUUCAAGUUGCUAGUGAAGAAAGGAAAAGUUAAAAAACAUACAAUGAUACUAAGAUUCCAGUCCUGUAGCAAUCAAUGAAUAAAUACUGAAAAGUUGAGCAUUUUACUGAAAGAUAAAGGCAUUUCUUUGAUGGUCACUGCUGUUUUAUUCUUCUUUUUAUGUUAGGUGUGUAAAUUCUGCAAGCUUUGGCAGUGUCUAUUGCAGCUGUUUGCUUAUAGCUAGGUUUCCCUUAAUGGAAGGGAUACACAUACACACACAAUUGGAAGUGUGGAACUUGAAAAAAUAUGAAAUGUAAGUUUCAACUACUAUGUCUAGUAAAGUGUGAAUUAGACGGUACUCGACAAUAUUAUAAAAAGGAAUAAGGAAAAAGAACUUAAG
RNAcentral lists this long non-coding RNA (4008 nucleotides) under Olea europaea subsp. europaea. Lineage: Eukaryota; Viridiplantae; Streptophyta; Magnoliopsida; Lamiales; Oleaceae. The record is from RNAcentral.